This 253-nucleotide ribosomal RNA is filed under the name uncultured bacterium. RNAcentral's name for it is "partial 16S ribosomal RNA". It matches the Rfam family "Bacterial small subunit ribosomal RNA", at positions 524 to 776 of the family's 1533-position model. The record is from RNAcentral.
UACGUAUGGUGCAAGCGUUAUCCGGAUUUACUGGGUGUAAAGGGAGCGCAGGCGGCGCGGCAAGUCUGAUGUGAAAGCCCGGGGCCCAACCCCGGGACUGCACUGGAAACUGCCGUGCUGGAGUGUCGGAGGGGUAAGCGGAAUUCCUGGUGUAGCGGUGAAAUGCGUAGAUAUUAGGAGGAACACCAGUGGCGAAGGCGGCUUACUGGACCGUAACUGACGUUGAGGCUCGAAAGCGUGGGGAGCAAACAGG